Vicia faba (fava bean) is the source of this 384-nucleotide non-coding RNA. The record is from the annotation of a GenBank genome assembly. Lineage: Eukaryota; Viridiplantae; Streptophyta; Magnoliopsida; Fabales; Fabaceae.
AUGGCCAGAACCAUGACCAAUGAGACAAAUGUUGCUAAGAUCUUCUGGGAAGAGGCAAUAAAUACAGCGUGCUACAUUCAGAAUAGAAUCUCUAUAAGACCUAUUCUGGAAAAGACUCCAUAUGAAUUGUGGAAGAACAGAAAGCCCAACAUUUCAUAUUUUCAUCCCUUUGGAUGUACUUGUUUUAUUUUAAAUACAAAAAAUUAUUUGAACAAAUUUGACUCUAAAGCACAGAAGUGUAUUAUGUUAGGAUACUAUGAACGCUCAAGAGGGUACAUAGUAUACAAUACAAAAACACAUAUUAUGGAAGAAUCAAUCAGUGUUCGUUUUGAUGAUAAGCUUGACUCUGAAAAGUCAAAGCAGAAUGAAGUCUUUGCAGGUAUG